This 580-nucleotide ribosomal RNA is filed under the name Cytospora carbonacea. RNAcentral's name for it is "eukaryotic LSU rRNA". It matches the Rfam family "Eukaryotic large subunit ribosomal RNA", at positions 65 to 668 of the family's 3401-position model. Lineage: Eukaryota; Fungi; Ascomycota; Sordariomycetes; Diaporthales; Cytosporaceae. The record is from RNAcentral.
CCCGCGGGGGGAUUGCCUAGUACGGCGAGUGAGCGGCAACAGCUCAAAUUUGAAAGCUGGCUUAGGCCCGCAUUGUAAUUUGCAGAGGAUGCUUCUGGCGAGGUGCCUUCCGAGUUCCCUGGAACGGGACGCCAUAGAGGGUGAGAGCCCCGUAUGGAUGGACACCAAACCUGUGUGAAGCUCCUUCAACGAGUCGAGUAGUUUGGGAAUGCUGCUCUAAAUGGGAGGUAAAUCUCUUCUAAAGCUAAAUACCGGCCAGAGACCGAUAGCGCACAAGUAGAGUGAUCGAAAGAUGAAAAGCACCUUGAAAAGGGGGUUAAACAGUACGUGAAAUUGUUGAAAGGGAAGCGCUUGUGACCAGACUUGCGCCGGGCAGCUCAUCAGGGGUUCUCCCCUGUGCACUCUGCCCGGCUCAGGCCAGCAUCGGUUCUUGUGGGAGGAUAAGAACGGUAGGAACGUGGCCCCCUUUCGGGGGGGUGUUAUAGCCUACCGUACGAUACUCCCGUGGGGACCGAGGUUCGCGCUCCGCAAGGAUGCUGGCGUAAUGGUCAUCAGCGACCCGUCUUGAAACCACGGACCA